Molecule: ribosomal RNA, 1080 nt
Filed under: Legionella pneumophila
Lineage: Bacteria; Pseudomonadati; Pseudomonadota; Gammaproteobacteria; Legionellales; Legionellaceae
Description: partial 23S ribosomal RNA
Rfam family: Bacterial large subunit ribosomal RNA
Source: RNAcentral
CGUAGAGAAAUCGAGUCUGAAUAGGGCGAUAGUCGCUGGGAGUAGACCCGAAACCGGGCGAUCUAGCCAUGUGCAGGAUGAAGGUUGGGUAACACCAACUGGAGGUCCGAACCGGGUAAUGUUGAAAAAUUAUCGGAUGACGUGUGGCUAGGAGUGAAAGGCUAAUCAAGCCCGGAGAUAGCUGGUUCUCCCCGAAAGCUAUUUAGGUAGCGCCUCGUGAAUGAUUACUGGGGGUAGAGCACUGUUUCGGCUAGGGGGCUGUCAUGGCUUACCAAACCGAUGCAAACUCCGAAUACCGGCUAAUUGGAUCACGGGAGACACACGGCGGGUGCUAACGUCCGUCGUGGAGAGGGAAACAACCCAGACCGCCAGCUAAGGUCCCCAAGUACUAGUUAAGUGGGAAACGAUGUGGGAAGGCAUAGACAGCCAGGAGGUUGGCUUAGAAGCAGCCACCCUUUAAAGAAAGCGUAAUAGCUCACUGGUCGAGUCGGCCUGCGCGGAAGAUGUAACGGGGCUAAAACUAGUCACCGAAGCUGCGGAUGUGCGCGAAGGCGCACGUGGUAGGGGAGCGUUCUGUAGGCUGAUGAAGGUGCAUUGAGAAGUGUGCUGGAGGUAUCAGAAGUGCGAAUGCUGACAUGAGUAACGAUAAUGUGGGUGAAAAGCCCACACGCCGGAAGUCCCAGGUUUCCUGCACGACGUUAAUCGGAGCAGGGUGAGUCGGCCCCUAAGGCGAGGCUGAAGAGCGUAGUCGAUGGGAACCAGGUUAAUAUUCCUGGACUUUUUAUAAGUGGUGAAGUGGGGACGAAGAAGGCUAGGUGAGCCAGGCGUUGGUUGUCCUGGUACUUGCAUGUAGGGGGGAAGACUUGGCAAAUCCGGUUUUCCAUAACUCUGAGGUGCGAAGUGGUUCUGACCUUUUGGUACAGAGAAGUCAUUGAUGCCCGGCUUCCAGGAAAAGCUGCUAGCCAUAACUUAUAGAGAACCGUACCGCAAACCGACACAGGUGGACAGGUAGAGAAUACUAAGGCGCUUGAGAGAACUCGGGUGAAGGAACUAGGCAAAAUGGUACCGUAACUUCGGGAG